UGGUAUGGGGGUAAACAAAGCGCUUGAAAAUGAAGAAAUGUGUUUUUGAUUGUUCAAUUAAUGUUAAUAGUCAUCCGAACUUGAUUUGUUAUAUUUUGCUUCCUGAUCCAAAGAGAAGAAAAUCGUGGCUUUAUGCUUUAUAUAAAACUGAUUCAUCUUGCAAAAACAAACUUUGGUCGCAAAACAUGUCUAAGUAUGCUCAAAACAUUUGUAUCUGAAUAUUAUGUACAAAUAAGUCAUUGCAAUAAAUCUCAAGUUAUUAAAGUCAGUGAACAAAUAAGUACUGACAAUUCGUUGACUGGAGUGGAAGAUGUUAGUGUCUUGAACCAACAUGAAACAACAAGUUAACUUAGCUGAGAAUGAUGGUAGUUUAAAAAUAAUGCAGCAUUGGCUAGGAUUGUUCCUAGGUCACAAAAACAAUCUUACAAAUAGAGUUUCUGCUAUUGUCACUAGUUUUAGAGAGUACCUUCGUGAAUGAAGAUAAAAAGUCAUUUAUGUUAUUUUUUAAAAGCCAAGACAUAAUAUUGUUAAUCCUCAUACCAUUUAC
Molecule: long non-coding RNA, 547 nt
Organism: Hydra vulgaris (swiftwater hydra)
Lineage: Eukaryota; Metazoa; Cnidaria; Hydrozoa; Anthoathecata; Hydridae
Source: RefSeq, a predicted model, not a curated record